Molecule: ribosomal RNA, 497 nt
Filed under: uncultured bacterium
Lineage: Bacteria
Description: partial 16S ribosomal RNA
Rfam family: Bacterial small subunit ribosomal RNA
Source: RNAcentral
GAUGAACGCUGGCGGCGUGCCUAAUACAUGCAAGUCGAGCGAACGGACGAGAAGCUUGCUUCUCUGAUGUUAGCGGCGGACGGGUGAGUAACACGUGGAUAACCUACCUAUCAGACUGGGAUAACUUCGGGAAACCGGAGCUAAUACCGGAUAAUAUUUUGAACCGCAUGGUUCAAAAGUGAAAGACGGUCUUGCUGUCACUUAUAGAUGGAUCCGCGCUGCAUUAGCUAGUUGGUAAGGUAACGGCUUACCAAGGCAACGAUGCAUAGCCGACCUGAGAGGGUGAUCGGCCACACUGGAACUGAGACACGGUCCAGACUCCUACGGGAGGCAGCAGUAGGGAAUCUUCCGCAAUGGGCGAAAGCCUGACGGAGCAACGCCGCGUGAGUGAUGAAGGUCUUCGGAUCGUAAAACUCUGUUAUUAGGGAAGAACAUAUGUGUAAGUAGCUGUGCACAUCUUGACGGUACCUAAUCAGAAAGCCACGGCUAACUACGUG